This 228-nucleotide ribosomal RNA is filed under the name uncultured bacterium. Its description in RNAcentral is "partial 16S ribosomal RNA". It matches the Rfam family "Bacterial small subunit ribosomal RNA", at positions 568 to 795 of the family's 1533-position model. The record is from RNAcentral.
UGCGUAGGCGGAAUAUUAAGUCAGUGGUGAAAUCCUGCGGCUCAACCGUAGAACUGCCACUGAUACUGAUAUUCUUGAAUGUAGUUGAGGUAGGCGGAAUGUGUAAUGUAGCGGUGAAAUGCUUAGAUAUUACACAGAACACCGAUUGCGAAGGCAGCUUACUAAACUAUGAUUGACGCUGAGGCACGAAAGCGUGGGGAGCGAACAGGAUUAGAUACCCUGGUAGUC